This 354-nucleotide ribosomal RNA is filed under the name uncultured Rhodocyclaceae bacterium. RNAcentral's name for it is "bacterial SSU rRNA". It matches the Rfam family "Bacterial small subunit ribosomal RNA", at positions 1027 to 1382 of the family's 1533-position model. The record is from RNAcentral. Lineage: Bacteria; Pseudomonadati; Pseudomonadota; Betaproteobacteria; Rhodocyclales; Rhodocyclaceae.
CCGGAACACAGGUGCUGCAUGGCUGUCGUCAGCUCGUGUCGUGAGAUGUUGGGUUAAGUCCCGCAACGAGCGCAACCCUUGUCAUUAGUUGCCAUCAUUUGGUUGGGCACUCUAAUGAGACUGCCGGUGACAAACCGGAGGAAGGUGGGGAUGACGUCAAGUCCUCAUGGCCCUUAUGGGUAGGGCUUCACACGUCAUACAAUGGUCGGUACAGAGGGUUGCCAACCCGCGAGGGGGAGCUAAUCCCACAAAGCCGAUCGUAGUCCGGAUCGCAGUCUGCAACUCGACUGCGUGAAGUCGGAAUCGCUAGUAAUCGUGGAUCAGCAUGUCACGGUGAAUACGUUCCCGGGUCUU